CAGAUAAUAUCUUUGCCGUUUUGGAAACCUUAGAGUGAUUUCUUUCCAAAGCUGCCAAUUAUAUGCAUAGUCGAGCAUCUUUUCGUGACAAAAUAUUGCGCUUAAAACGGGCACGUUUUUUAAUCCAUAAAUUAAAAGAGCGCCCCCUAUAUCCAAGAAGUUAAUAAGAUCAUAUCGUUCUCAGAAGUCCCGUUAUAAUGCGCUGUUGUAUUCACAGCCUAUUGAUCUGUGGAGAUUCCCAAUAAAUGGGUUGCAUCUCAUUGUAGCCUGUCUUGAUAUCGUCUAUUUUAAUUACCACAUUUUCCAACUUAUUUACUCAUGUAAAUAACACCUUGAAUGAAGUGUUUGUGGUAUUGAAGUGGCAGACUGGGUUUGGGCCUUUCCAGAACCUAUUCAGAAAGAGGACACAGACUGAAUAUAGCGAUGAAUAAUGAUAAAGGGUUCCUCUAUAUCCAACCCUUAAUUAAUGGUGCCACUCUUAAUCUGGAUGAACAAAUUCAGCACAUCAAUCAGAUCAAUUCAUCAGUAAAUGAUUUUGAAUAUCAAUAUUAGGUCAUAACUCUGUGUGUGUGUGUGUGUGUGUGUGUGUGUGUGUGUGUGUGUGUGUGUGUGUGUGUGUGUGUGUGUGUGUGUGUUCCUGGCUCCUGUCAGCAGCAGACGGAAUCCUAGAGCUCCUUCAGACUCUCAGAGUCUUUCUGGGUGACCACUCAGGGCGAAAACACACACCCACAGCUGCUGCUAGGAAGGAGAGAGGAGAGGGAAGGAGAUGGGAUGAGAGUAGAGGAGAGAGAGUUGAGGAGAAGUAAGGAGAGGGGAGGGGAGAGAGCAGAGGAGAGGAGAGGGAAGGAAAUGGGAUGAGAGUAGAGGAGAAAGAGGUGAGGAGAAUUGAGCAGAGGGGAGAGAGCAGUGGAGAGAGCAGAGGAGAGGGGAGAGGGGAGAGGGGAGGGGAGAUAGCAGAGGAGAGGGGAGAGAGCAGAUGAGAGGGGAGAGAGCAGAGGAAAGGGGAGAGAGCAGAGGAGAGGGGAGAGAGCAGAGGAGAGAAGAGAGAGCAGAGGAAAGGCGAGAGAGCGGAGGAUAGGGGCGGAG
Long non-coding RNA from Oncorhynchus tshawytscha (Chinook salmon), 1086 nucleotides. NCBI's taxonomy places the organism in Eukaryota, Metazoa, Chordata, Actinopteri, Salmoniformes, Salmonidae. The record is from Ensembl.